CACAAGACUCUCGGCAACGGAUAUCUCGGCUCUCGCAUCGAUGAAGAACGUAGCAAAAUGCGAUACCUGGUGUGAAUUGCAGAAUCCCGUGAACCAUCGAGUUUUUGAACGCAAGUUGCGCCCGAGGCCUUCUGGCUGAGGGCACGCCUGCCUGGGCGUCACGC
This 164-nucleotide ribosomal RNA is filed under the name Cyrtococcum oxyphyllum. Its description in RNAcentral is "5.8S ribosomal RNA". It matches the Rfam family "5.8S ribosomal RNA". Rfam says of the family: 5.8S ribosomal RNA (5.8S rRNA) is a component of the large subunit of the eukaryotic ribosome. Lineage: Eukaryota; Viridiplantae; Streptophyta; Magnoliopsida; Poales; Poaceae. The record is from RNAcentral.